RNAcentral lists this unclassified non-coding RNA (332 nucleotides) under soil metagenome. RNAcentral's name for it is "partial contains 5.8S ribosomal RNA, internal transcribed spacer 2, and large subunit ribosomal RNA". The stretch from base 1 to 120 matches the Rfam family "5.8S ribosomal RNA", at positions 35 to 154 of the family's 154-position model. The record is from RNAcentral.
GAUGAAGAACGUAGUGAAAUGCGAUAAGUAAUGUGAAUUGCAGAAUUCAGUGAAUCAUCGAAUCUUUGAACGCACAUUGCGCCCGCUAGUAUUCUGGCGGGCAUGCCUGUUCGAGCGUCAUUUCAACCAUCAAGCCCUGUUUAGGCUUGUGUUGGGGCCCUGCGGCUGCCGCAGCCCCCUAAAUGCAGUGGCGGGCUCGUUGUCACUCCGAGCGCAGUAGCGUAUCUCGCUCUGGGCGUGGCGGCGGGUGCUAGCCGUGAAACACCCACUAAGGUUGACCUCGGAUCAGGUAGGAAUACCCGCUGAACUUAAGCAUAUCAAUAAGCGGAGGA